GGUAACCGCCGCCUGGGGGCGGGGCCACGCGUCUCCUCGGACGGGUUCGAGUCCCGCGCGCCGCCUCGGGCCUGUGGCCCCGCCUGGAGGCGUGGUGUCCUCCUGGUUCAUUUACAGCAAGUGUGCGUGGCAGGAGCAAGCGGACACUGCCGGCCCCGAUGGACGUGGACACUCGAGCUAUAACCCGCGGUUUAUCGUUUCACCAGGAGCCCCAGCAGCAUACACGCAAGCCUUACCCCGUCCCCUCCUGCAGCUAAUGGACCUCAUUCAUCUCUGCCCAUUUCUGUUGGUUUGGGUUUUUUUUAAUGCACGAAUAUCACUUGUCGUUGUCGUCCGGAUAAUAGGCUAGAGCAAUUACGGGAUCUCGUUAACGAUCCGGAGGUACCAGUCCAAGCCUUGUUCUGGGCCUGCGCUGAGAGCGGGGCCCAGUCCGGCCGCCCGCCAAGGCAAGUGGGUCACUGGGGCUCGGAGGUGGCUGGACGCGAUGGCAGCACAGCGUUCCCUCGUGUCCUGUCCGCUGCUUAGCCCGGUUGCUAGCCUGACGGCUCAAGCGGACCUUCAGCCAUUUGCUGCCUGUCUGUGCUGAUGUGUUAGCAACCCUCCUUUCACUGCUAAUCCCUUUGGACGUCUACUGUCACAACAGCCAUGCGCUGUACGUGACAGACCGAGGGUAUGGCAAGCGUAGCAGUGCCCUGCAGUGGGGAACUGGGCUCACUGCACCUGCCAGUGACCGCGGCGCUGCUCUGUUAAGUGGCCGUGCCCAGUGCUAAGCGCUGCGCUGGUGACAGCCCGAAGCCGCUCCCCAGAAGCCGACCACGUUACUCUGGCUACAUACCACUGUCACGUCAGAUCAGAGUCCGCCUCACUGCUCCUAUUGGAAACGACCCUUCCUGCUGUUGUGAGCGGUGCUAUGCUGCAAUGUUCACAGGUUCUCCUCCAGACACCGUUACAGUUCCCAGCGUGAACACAACCCUUUCUAUGCCUGCCACAGCCUGCAGUCAUCCAGGGAUCGCCAGGCACCGUCUCUUCCCAGAUGGGUUGCCGCUCCGGUGUGAGCUGCUUCUAGGCCUGGAGCACAGGAUCAGGCCCGCACGCUGGAAACCCGUUCAUCAGUCCACUGCACCCCAGCCAGAGAGUCCAGGAGGCAGCUUUAGCUCGAGAAAAAGGAAAUUGGGGGAUAAAACCUGCCUCUCUCCAUAGUAUGGAUGCCCCCAACACACACACACAGACUCCGUCUCUUCUCCCUCUGCAGCACUGAUUGCAAUGGGAGCAGGGCAGGGAGUCACCCA
Alligator sinensis (Chinese alligator) is the source of this 1289-nucleotide long non-coding RNA. RefSeq lists it as uncharacterized. The transcript is spliced from 3 exons. The record is from RefSeq and is a predicted model, not a curated record. Lineage: Eukaryota; Metazoa; Chordata; Crocodylia; Alligatoridae.